This 450-nucleotide ribosomal RNA is filed under the name uncultured bacterium. RNAcentral's name for it is "partial 16S ribosomal RNA". It matches the Rfam family "Bacterial small subunit ribosomal RNA", at positions 338 to 795 of the family's 1533-position model. The record is from RNAcentral.
CCUACGGGUGGCAGCAGUGGGGAAUUUUGGACAAUGGGGGCAACCCUGAUCCAGCCAUGCCGCGUGCGGGAAGAAGGCCUUCGGGUUGUAAACCUCUUUUGUCAGGGAAGAAAUCUUCCGAGCUAAUACCUUGGGAGGAUGACGGUACCUGAAGAAUAAGCACCGGCUAACUACGUGCCAGCAGCCGCGGUAAUACGUAGGGUGCAGACGUUAAUCGAAGUUACUGGGCGCGAUUGUGCAGCAGGCGGUUGAAAUCCCCGGGCUUACCCUGGGAACUGCACUUGUGACUGUACGGCUGGAGUACGGCAGAGGGGGAUGGAAUUCCGCGUGUAGCAGUGAAAUGCGUAGAUAUGCGGAGGAACACCGAUGGCGAAGGCAGUCCCCUGGGCCUGUACUGACGCUCAUGCACGAAAGCGUGGGGAGCAAACAGGAUUAGAUACCCCGGUAGUC